RNAcentral lists this long non-coding RNA (1403 nucleotides) under Capsicum annuum. RNAcentral's name for it is "long non-coding RNA (CANN_LNC016601)". Lineage: Eukaryota; Viridiplantae; Streptophyta; Magnoliopsida; Solanales; Solanaceae. The record is from RNAcentral.
CCGACCCCCAAAUCAACAAGUUUAAUCCUCAAGCCAUGGUUAACAAAUUUUUCGGUUAUCAAACCACUUUUAAAAUCUAAAAUCAACAUCAUACAUAUACAUCCAACGAAGAUUCAAGCAUUUAAGCACACCACUCCUACGUAUCCACAACAACGAUCAAUAUCUUACUAAAAAUUCAAUCAAAACACAAAAUCACGACAUUAACCAAAAUCCGAGAAAACGAAAGAGUAGAGUUAAAGAGAUGGACCUUAAUAGAACUCGUUAUUGUUGAUAAUAAAGAAACCCGAGACCCGAAAUCCUCAAACGGAGAACCCCAACGUCAAACAAACUCGAUCAGUGACCCCAAAACCGCCUCAUUAGGUGACAGUGAAUCAAUCAAGGCUCGGUCGAAACUCUCGAACGGAAAACCUCGACUCCGAGCUUGCGAAUUGAAUAGAACCGGUUCGAAACACAAUAAGCCCCCAAAAAUACGAGUCGAACAGAAAUCCAAAAAUUCACACGGACAACCGAAACAGAGAUUGCGAUGAGAAAACCAAGAUACCAUAUAAUUUCUGGCGGAACUUGGCUGGAAUCAAAUUCAGAAUGAACAGGAACAACAAAUUGGAAUCCGCUAUAAAAGCUGAAGUCCAACCCAAAUCAAAAACGAAGAACAAAUGUGUCCGAAACAAGAAGGUUAAGUGAAAAGGAACUUGACCUGUGUAGUCGGAGCUCCGACAAGUUCAGACUGCAUCCAGAAAAUGAUGAAAACAGAUCGAAUUUCAGCGACGGAUAGUGUUCCCGAUGAGAUCUCAACGGCUUCUAGUGUUCCUCGCCCAAUCCUCUUUUCAAACUACAUCUAUUUUUUUUCUUCUUAUCACUGUGUGCGUGUGCCUUCUUCUCUGUGUAAAUCCAUGUAAGUGAAGUGUGUUUAUGGAAAUUGAGGUGUGUUUUUGUGUCGAUAGGCUACUGUUUGAUGAAUCUUGUGUAUUCUCUCUGUUGGGAGCUCCAAAAAUAGAAAAGAUGGAGAUCCGUGGCUUCCUUUCUCUUUUUCUUCCUUUUCGAAAAGAAAAUCCCUCUGUAGCUCACUGUCUAUCUCUCGCCCCUUCUCUUCUCUCUCACGCUCAAAUUCCCCCAAACCCCUGUUAUUCUCCUCCUAUGCUACUGAUUCUUUGUUGCUCAAUUGUGUGCGCAUGUAUUCCGGUGAAGUUUUUUCCCAGUGAUGGUGUAUGAAUGUGCAGUCGAGUGUGUGCUAUCGUGAUUCGUGCGUUGUGUAGAAGAAAAGAAAAUGGAGUGUCUAUUACGUUAAGAAGACGGUGGCUGUGUAAUUCAGUGAAGGCGAGUGGAGUUCUGUGUGUCUUUUUUGGUUACUGUGAUAGUGCCAAAUUGUGAGACUGUGAGAGUAUGUGUGUGUUUUUCAUUGUGAG